CCCCCGGGGCGGGGGCUGAGCCUGAGCCUGAGGGGAGCGCUGAGGGAAGCCUUGAAACUCCUGGUUGUGACAUCUGCUGUGGUACAACACCAGCUCCAGAUGUAGCUGCAACCCACAGAACAAUACACCAUGACGCUCAUCUCCAGAACACAGAAUCAAAAGAUUAAGAGAAAGCAGUUUUCAGGAAUCACCACCAUUCUGCAGCAACACAGAAAAAUUAUUAUAGCAAAUAGGUAAACAGGAUCAUCUUCAUCUUAAAUCCUGUCUGCUCUUCUUCUGCCACACAAAUACAACACCAUCAGCUAAGCUUCUGGUGCAAAAAGUAAAUCAGCCAUAAGAAGCUCACCUAAUAAAGAUGUUACUGUUGACUUUCACAAAGAAAUUACUAUUUACUGUUACAGUAGAGUUCAC
Ficedula albicollis (Collared flycatcher) is the source of this 411-nucleotide long non-coding RNA. RefSeq lists it as uncharacterized. Lineage: Eukaryota; Metazoa; Chordata; Aves; Passeriformes; Muscicapidae. The record is from RefSeq and is a predicted model, not a curated record. The transcript is spliced from 4 exons.